GGGGAAAAAUCAUGGUGUC
RNAcentral lists this non-coding RNA (19 nucleotides) under Rattus norvegicus (Norway rat). Lineage: Eukaryota; Metazoa; Chordata; Mammalia; Rodentia; Muridae. The record is from RNAcentral.